RNAcentral lists this ribosomal RNA (492 nucleotides) under uncultured bacterium. RNAcentral describes it as "partial 16S ribosomal RNA". It matches the Rfam family "Bacterial small subunit ribosomal RNA", at positions 29 to 507 of the family's 1533-position model. The record is from RNAcentral.
AGUGAACGCUGGCGGUAGGCCUAUCACAUGCAAGUCGAACGGCAGCACAGUAAGAGCUUGCUCUUACGGGUGGCGAGUGGCGGACGGGUGAGGUAUACAUCGGAAUCUACUUUUUCGUGGGGGAUAACGUAGGGAAACUUACGCUAAUACCGCAUACGACCUACGGGUGAAAGCAGGGGAUCUUCGGACCUUGCGCGAUUGAAUGAGCCGAUGUCGGAUUAGCUAGUUGGCGGGGUAAAGGCCCACCAAGGCGACGAUCCGUAGCUGGUCUGAGAGGAUGGUCAGACACACUGGAACUGAGACACGGUCCAGACUCCUACGGGAGGCAGCAGUGGGGAAUAUUGGACAAUGGGCGCAAGCCUGAUCCAGCCAUACCGCGUGGGUGAAGAAGGCCUUCGGGUUGGAAAGCCCUUUUGUUGGGAAAGAAAAGCAGCAGGUUAAUACCCCGCUGUUCUGACGGUACCCAAAGAAUAAGCACCGGCUAACUUCGUG